GACGAACGCUGGCGGCGUGCCUAAUACAUGCAAGUCGAACGCUUUUCCUUUCACCGGAGCUUGCUCCACCGAAAGAAAAAGAGUGGCGAACGGGUGAGUAACACGUGGGUAACCUGCCCAUCAGAAGGGGAUAACACUUGGAAACAGGUGCUAAUACCGUAUAACACUAUUUUCCGCAUGGAAGAAAGUUGAAAGGCGCUUUUGCGUCACCGAUGGAUGGACCCGCGGUGCAUUAGCUAGUUGGUGAGGUAACGGCUCACCAAGGCAACGAUGCAUAGCCGACCUGAGAGGGUGAUCGGCCACACUGGGACUGAGACACGGCCCAGACUCCUACGGGAGGCAGCAGUAGGGAAUCUUCGGCAAUGGACGAAAGUCUGACCGAGCAACGCCGCGUGAGUGAAGAAGGUUUUCGGAUCGUAAAACUCUGUUGUUAGAGAAGAACAAGGAUGAGAGU
This 454-nucleotide ribosomal RNA is filed under the name Enterococcus casseliflavus. RNAcentral's name for it is "bacterial SSU rRNA". It matches the Rfam family "Bacterial small subunit ribosomal RNA", at positions 28 to 462 of the family's 1533-position model. Lineage: Bacteria; Bacillati; Bacillota; Bacilli; Lactobacillales; Enterococcaceae. The record is from RNAcentral.